UCUUCUUCUCUAACAAUCUGUGCAAGGAUGAGCGACGAUUACAGUUUUUGAAUGACGAAGAUUUGAGUAUCUUCAAAAUGUCUAUGAUCCGAUAUCCGAGGUCGCGAAAGUACGACCAUUGUUGUCAGAAGAGAUCAACCCGUCGAUGUCGAGUGGAAGCAAAAAAAGAAACCGUGAUUUAGAUCCCGGUAACUCAAGAAGCUAAUGGAAAAGUCGGGAAGAAACAACGCCGGUGUCCGCGAACCUUUUAUGCCGGUGAAUCAUCAACUUCCCGGCUACAAGAAUGUUUGAAAGGGAAAACCGUGGCGGGAAUGGCGAAGGUUUACAAGGAUCGAAUUAGCAGGCGUAUAAAGAACGAGAAAAGGUGAGGAUGAUCUUCACCUCGGAAGAGAAUAAUACUUUAUAAUAGAUGCAUUUUGAAAAUCUUUGUAUCAACAAUACGUAUGCAUUGUUUCGUAUCUCUUGCUUUCUGUAUAUUUGGUAAAAUGAAGGACAAGGAAGCAGACAAGGACGUUAUUAUAAGGAUAGUUCGUAACAUGAUGGCCAUUAAUGCCUCUCAUCUCUUACCACGAGUUUUCGGCUCCCUCGAGCAAAUCACAACGCAAUGGCCAAUUCGACCUGACCUCCAACGUAUGAAGCAAAAGAUUCAAGAAAUCGAGAAGGACGACAGUUCAACAGACGAGGCAAAACGAAGAAUAUUCGUUGAAGUAGAAUAUGAGUUGGAGAGAAUAGAUCAAGAACGGCUAAAGGAUUCAACAAAAGCAGGGAACCUUGAUGCAGUCUUCACGGUAUGUAUAUUCAACAAAAGCAGGGAACCUUGAUGCAGUCUUCACGGAUUUUAGCAUGGGGACUCUACAAAAGAGGUACCAUAUACAUGCAUAUAUACAUAUGUGCAUGCAUAGAUUGCAUAUGAUUCAUGUUUUCAAUAUAAUGCAUAUUAUAUGAUAGAAUACAUAAAAAUGUAAAAUUAAAAUUCAUGUUGUUUUAUAUUUUUCAAAUACAUAUCACAUCAUUCUUAUAAAUUAUAACCUGUUUUUUUUUUUUAAAUUGUUCUAGCUAGCUUUCUUCAGCAUGUCUGUGGCUGAUGUCGACGAAACUACAGCAACUAAUCAUCUUAUUAUUGUUGAUGAAGAUCAAGAUCAGCAUCAUGGAAGUUUGCUAACUCCUCAAGUGUUACACUCUAAUUUUAGCGAUCUGAAAAACCAACCUUACGACAAAACGCAACAGUUAUGCCACCUUCAUAUCACCUACGACCGCGGCUCGCCACACCAUUGAGCACACUUUCAUCAUGAGCUGCCUCCACUAAAAGUGCUUGAGAUUCUUCAACUGUGCAAGUCACCUACAUUGUCAUGCCAUCAAUCUACAAGAUUACAUCAGCGUCGCUACAAAGAGAUAGGAUGUGACCCUACCGCCAGCAAGAUACUUACACGUAACAUCACUUAUGUCUCAUAUAUAAACUUUCUCACCUUGAAGGAGGGAUGAUCCUCACUCCCUCACUCUCUUCUCUCUCUUAUUAUCCUUCAUCACAUUAUCACAACAGCUCUUCGCCUUUCAAGGGUGAAGCACUAGUCACCUCUGUCAACUCUUCCCCUUGUUGAUUCCUGAUAUCAACAACAAAUUGUAUAAUUCAAGUUUUCCUGCGUCUCUAAUCCUGCAUAGACUCUUGCAUUUAAAACACUUUCUUCAACAUGGCCAUGGCUUAUUAGUGCUGUUCAAGAUCAAGAUCAUGGAAGUUUAUUUACUUGUGAGGAGUUGCAGUACUCUACUUUUAGUGAAUUAGAAAACCAACUCUGUGACAAGGACAACAACGAAAUGGAUGUUACAGACUUCCAUGGCUUAGAACAAGCAUUGAACAACAUUGGCUGGGAUAAAACACCAGACUACCUCAAACCUAUUGCGACCCGAAUCGAAAAUGUUCGUGGAAAAGCUACCGAUUUUUGCUAUAACGUUAUUCAAGUUCAGGUCUGUGCCGCAAUCAAAGAGAUGGAAGAGGUAUCAAUUAAGGAAUUAAACCGGGACACAUUGAAAAAAUGGGCAGCGACACUCAACCAGGCUAAGGGAUUUGGUUUUGAAGUGGGAUUUGCUAACAAUCUGUUGCAGAAGAAUCUGUGUUCCUACUUUUGUCACUCGAGGAAUUUUGGACGAAACUGAAAAAGAAAAACAGGGUUUUGGAAAUCAAAGGUGGCUGCUGAGCUCUCAUGUUUUGCAGUUGCAGUUGCCGCAAAAUCUUUGGUGGCUGCUGAGCUCUCAUGUUUUGCAGUUGCAGUUGCCGCAAAAUCUUUUGACUUCAACAAAGCAAGGAACUUUGAACCAAUCUUCACUGCUAACAAUAUAUAUGGUAUGCAUAGUUCUUAUCAUUCAUAUUAACCAACAUAACAACAUUUUUAUUAUUAAGUCUAUCUUUUAAUCAUUUAACUUUAAAAUGUUAUAAAAUGAUCAUUGAACUAUUUAAAAGUUUUCAUUUAAGUCACUAAAUUAUUAAAAUCGUCACUAUAUCACAUUCUCUGUUCACACCGCAAACACCAAUCGAAGUUUUCCUUCUCAUUUUCUUCUAAAAUGUAUACUCUUAUUAAUAGUUCAAUGAUUGUAGGUGUAAUUUAUCCUAAAUCAAAUUAUAAUUAUUUCA
Long non-coding RNA from Gossypium raimondii (Peruvian cotton), 2626 nucleotides. RefSeq lists it as uncharacterized. The transcript has 8 exons. The record is from RefSeq and is a predicted model, not a curated record. NCBI's taxonomy places the organism in Eukaryota, Viridiplantae, Streptophyta, Magnoliopsida, Malvales, Malvaceae.